RNAcentral lists this unclassified non-coding RNA (428 nucleotides) under plant metagenome. RNAcentral describes it as "partial contains 5.8S ribosomal RNA, internal transcribed spacer 2, and large subunit ribosomal RNA". It matches the Rfam family "Bacterial small subunit ribosomal RNA", at positions 358 to 777 of the family's 1533-position model. The record is from RNAcentral.
GGAAUCUUCCGCAAUGGACGAAAGUCUGACGGAGCAACGCCGCGUGAGUGAUGAAGGUUUUCGGAUCGUAAAGCUCUGUUGUUAGGGAAGAACAAGUACCGUUCGAAUAGGGCGGUACCAUGACGGUACCUAACCAGAAAGCCACGGCUAACUACGUGCCAGCAGCCGCGGUAAUACGUAGGUGGCAAGCGUUGUCCGGAAUUAUUGGGCGUAAAGGGCGCGCAGGCGGUUUUUUAAGUCUGAUGUGAAAGCCCCCGGCUCAACCGGGGAGGGUCAUUGGAAACUGGGGAACUUGAGUGCAGAAGAGGAGAGUGGAAUUCCACGUGUAGCGGUGAAAUGCGUAGAGAUGUGGAGGAACACCAGUGGCGAAGGCGACUCUCUGGUCUGUAACUGACGCUGAGGAGCGAAAGCGUGGGGAGCGAACAGGA